AUGUACAAUCCUACAACGUUAAUGCAUUGUAUCAUGUCAUAAUUAUAUAGUUAAGUGUGCUUGGGAUAGAGUAGUAAUGGUAUGGGUGACCUCCCAAGAAGUCCUAGUGUUUUUCAUG
Non-coding RNA from Picea glauca (white spruce), 118 nucleotides. The record is from Rfam. NCBI's taxonomy places the organism in Eukaryota, Viridiplantae, Streptophyta, Pinopsida, Pinales, Pinaceae.